CCUACGGGAGGCAGCAGUGGGGGAUAUUGCACAAUGGGGGAAACCCUGAUGCAGCGACGCCGCGUGGGGGAAGACGGUCCUCUGGAUUGUAAACCACUGUCCCCAGGGACGAAGAUGACGGUACCUGGGGAGGAAGCUCCGGCUAACUACGUGCCAGCAGCCGCGGUAAGACGUAGGGAGCGAGCGUGGUCCGGAAGUACUGGGUGUAAAGGGAGCGGAGGCGGGACUGCAAGUUGGGUGUCAAAUCUACCGGCUCAACCGGUAGCCGCACUCAAAACUGCAGUUCUUGAGUGAAGUAGAGGCCGGCGGAAUUCCUAGUGUAGCGGUGAACUGCGUAGAUAUUAGGUGGAACCCCAGUGGCGAAGGCGGCCUGCUGGGCUUUUACUGACGCUGAGGCUCGACAGUGUGGGGAGCAAACAGGAUUAGCUACCCCUGUAGUC
RNAcentral lists this ribosomal RNA (440 nucleotides) under uncultured bacterium. RNAcentral describes it as "partial 16S ribosomal RNA". It matches the Rfam family "Bacterial small subunit ribosomal RNA", at positions 338 to 795 of the family's 1533-position model. The record is from RNAcentral.